Molecule: long non-coding RNA, 1758 nt
Filed under: Homo sapiens (human)
Lineage: Eukaryota; Metazoa; Chordata; Mammalia; Primates; Hominidae
Description: HSALNT0245677
Source: RNAcentral
CUGGGCUUCCCCUGCCCUAACCUAAGCCCAGCUGGGCUUCAUUCAGCACGCUGUGUACCACUCUUGAUGGGUAGGCCCACUCUGCCCGCACCUUGAAACCUGACCAGGUCUUCUCCCACCCCAUGAAUGUAAACAUUUUAACAACUAGCCUGACUGUGAAAAGCCUGGAGAAUCCUUCCUACAGGGGACAGUGGACCUCCAGAGGGGCAGACGUGUCCUGAGCUCAGCCAAUCUGAUGAUCUCCUGGGACACCGACCCCUGAGGAAGUGACUCAAGAUGGACAGGAAUUGGGCAAAGUCAUUCAGGGAGUUGCCGAACAAGCCAGUGAGCAUGAGGCCAUGGCUGCAGGACGGCUCCCCACACUUCCUCAUCUUGGGAGGACCUCUCCCUUCUCCAUAGCCUUCCCUCCAACCUCCUUCUCCUACUUCAGCCAGAGGAGCUUUCUGUAUCUGCAUCAAGAGCCUCACAGACCCCCGGCUCCUCAUUUUCCAUUUCUGUGCCAUUUCUGCACCUUAGCACGAGCGUUUCUGAGGUGCGAGGCCAUGUCAGGGACACGCGGGCCCUGCAACACCAUCAACACGUGGUUCUCGGCACCUGGUGUUGCCUUCGGAGGCACAGAGGACGUUCUAGAAACACGAGGGUGCAAAGAGAAGCUGGACAGGCGCCCACACCUGGCUGGCACGCACACCUGUGUGCACCGAGGGGGAACUGACGAGCACCUGAAUUGCCGAGCCAGGCUGCAGCUAAUAAAACAGAGAAAGUAAGUGCAUCGGGCACUCCAGACCAAAGCCAUUUGCAGAAUGGAGUCACAGGCUGACAUCCAAGACUUUAGCCAGCUGGCUUCAGGCAGCAGAUGCAAAGGAGAGGUCAUGAGCAGGCCAGGCCCUGGCUAGGCAGUUUCGCCUAACAGAGAAGGAGACAAAACUAACCCGGUGGCCACGUGGCCGAAGGCACAGAGCCGUUGAGUGGCAGCGUGGCAUUUGAAUUCAGGCCGGUGAUGCUGAAGUCCCCAGGUCUUUUUUUUUUUGAUGCCCACAACAAUGUAACUACUAAUAGCCUGUUAUUGAUGCAGGCCUUACCAAUAACAUAAAUAGUUGAUGAACACAUAUUUUGCAUAUGUGUUAUAUACUGUAUUCUUAUCAUAAACGAGCCAAAGAGAAGGAGAUGUUAUUAAGAAAACGGUAAGAAAGAGAAAAUAUAUUUAGCAUUCAUUUAGCAGAAGGGGAUCACCAUAAAGGUCUUCAUCCCUGUUAUCUUCACCUUGAAGAGGCUGAGAAGGAGGAGAAGGAGGGGGUGGUCUUGCUGUCUUAGGGAUGGUGGAGGUAGAAGAGGCAAAGAAGGUGGAAGGGAAGGCAGCCACGCUCGGUGUAAGCUUUAUUGGAAAAAAUCUGCAUUUAUGUGGACUCUCACCAGGCAAACCCGUAUGGUGCUCGAGGGCCAACUGUAUUUCCACUACCGUCAUCCGCCUUGCCCAGGGUGACCUGAUUCACUGACGGGAGGGUUUGCCUUCCCAUGCGCAUCAGUUCAGCCUUCCCCUGAUGUCAUUCUUUUCCUAGUGGCUAACAGGCUGGAUGUGCAGUUGGGGACAGUCAGUAUCUGGGGUCUGGUGAGGACCCUCUUCCUGGUUUGCAAAGCAGGAAGAUGCCAGGCAUCUCUUUCUGUCCUGCUCAGUCAAGUGUGAAUCACAAAGCCUGAGUUCAGAUCCUCGACCUUGGGCAGGUGAACUUCACUCUUAUGAGUCUCAAUUUCUGUACCCAC